RNAcentral lists this unclassified non-coding RNA (282 nucleotides) under plant metagenome. RNAcentral's name for it is "partial contains small subunit ribosomal RNA, internal transcribed spacer 1, and 5.8S ribosomal RNA". The stretch from base 235 to 282 matches the Rfam family "5.8S ribosomal RNA", at positions 1 to 49 of the family's 154-position model. The record is from RNAcentral.
UUUCCGUAGGUGAACCUGCGGAAGGAUCAUUAUUGUAUAACCGAGGUGCGAGGGCUGUCGCUGACCCGAAAGGUCGUGCACGCCCGAGUGCCCUCACACACAUCCAUCUCACCCCUAUGUGCACCACCGCGUGGGUCCCCCUUUGGCUUGUUCGGAGGGGGGCUUACGUUUUCACACAAACUUUGUAUGCAGUGUAGAAUGUAUUUUUUGUUUUUGCGAUCACGCAAUCAAUACAACUUUCAACAACGGAUCUCUUGGCUCUCGCAUCGAUGAAAACGCAGC